Molecule: long non-coding RNA, 736 nt
Organism: Bactrocera latifrons
Lineage: Eukaryota; Metazoa; Arthropoda; Insecta; Diptera; Tephritidae
Exons: 3
Source: RefSeq, a predicted model, not a curated record
GAAAGUUCCUUUUGUAAGAAAUAUUUUUGUAGUGCCUUUAUACUUAUUUCGCAGGGUGUAUUUAACAAGAGCAGUCCAUAGAAAUGAACGCAAGUGAGAAAUGUGUCGCCGCAGAUGGCUAACACUUCGGGACCGGAACGGGAGGGAAAUGCGAAAGGCUAUCACCCCCCAGGCAGCGGGAUGGAGUUCCAAAGGCAGUGGCAUUUGUUGGAGGCUAUGUAGUUUCUGAAGUCACAUAUUGUAGCGCGGCCGUAAUUUUUAGCUUAGAUGCUCACAAAAUAUUUGUGAAACAGAUGUCGAUGAUCAGCGUGAGUUGUAAUCACCAGCUGAAGAAGCUCAAUUGAAGCCACAUGGACAUGCGCACGAGGUGGAAGUGCUAUCACCGUUAUGGCCCUUAUCGCCAUUAAGCCCGACUACAAUAUCGCUGCCGUCGUCAUCGCCUGCUUUCCCAGUGGCGCAAAGCGUAGUGGAGAAACCAUCCCCGACUAAUUCCACAUCAACCUCGCUGCCCUCACGAUCCUGCUCUACGCAGGCGGCUAUCAAACAGGGAAGAAAACGAAGGUCAUCUACUAACGAGGCUAACAAAAAAUGAUGGAAGCCAUCGAGAUAUUCAAAAGUAGAUGGUCAUCAACGCAGCCAACCCAGGAAAUCCAACAUCAAUAAUUCGCAAACCCGGACGAAGAAAAACAAGCUAGGGCUAUUGGGAAAAUGUUGCAAGCUGCAUUUGAGGUGCAGA